CAAGACCUGCGCUUUUGGAGCGGCCGAUGCCUGAUUAGCUUGUUGGUAAGGUAAAAGCUUACCAAGGCUUCGAUCAGUAGCUGGUCUGAGAGGACGGCCAGCCACACUGGGACUGAGACACGGCCCAGACUCCUACGGGAGGCAGCAGUGGGGAAUUUUGGACAAUGGGGGCAACCCUGAUCCAGCCAUGCCGCGUGAGUGAAGAAGGCCUUCGGGUUGUAAAGCUCUUUCAGCCGGAACGAAACGGUUACGGUUAAUACCCGUGAUUACUGACGGUACCGGAAGAAGAAGCACCGGCUAACUACGUGCCAGCAGCCGCGGUAAUACGUAGGGUGCGAGCGUUAAUCGGAAUUACUGGGCGUAAAGCGUGCGCAGGCGGUUUUGUAAGUCAGAUGUGAAAGCCCCGGGCUCAACCUGGGAACU
RNAcentral lists this ribosomal RNA (423 nucleotides) under uncultured bacterium. Its description in RNAcentral is "bacterial SSU rRNA". It matches the Rfam family "Bacterial small subunit ribosomal RNA", at positions 207 to 622 of the family's 1533-position model. The record is from RNAcentral.